RNAcentral lists this ribosomal RNA (253 nucleotides) under uncultured bacterium. RNAcentral describes it as "partial 16S ribosomal RNA". It matches the Rfam family "Bacterial small subunit ribosomal RNA", at positions 524 to 776 of the family's 1533-position model. The record is from RNAcentral.
UACGGAGGGUGCGAGCGUUAAUCGGAAUUACUGGGCGUAAAGCGCGCGUAGGCGGUGCGCUAAGUCAGCUGUGAAAGCCCUAGGCUUAACCUGGGAACGGCAGUUGAUACUGGCGCGCUAGAGUGUGAUAGAGGGUGGCGGAAUUCCCGGUGUAGCGGUGAAAUGCGUAGAGAUCGGGAGGAACACCAAUGGCGAAAGCAGCCACCUGGGUCAACACUGACGCUGAGGUGCGAAAGCGUGGGGAGCAAACAGG